GGCCUCAGUCAUGUUCCAUUAACUUUGUCCUCAACUGUUUACUCUAUCUCUGGAUCUAGAUUCUACUACAUUCUACAAUAAGUGGGAAAAGGGAAAUCCUGCUGACUUUUUCAAUUCACACAUUCUUCCUCCUUUACGAUACAAAUGUACACAAGUUUAAUUGAUCCAGUAGGGCAGAUGAAGCUUUUACUGUUCUUCACUUCUAUC
This is a non-coding RNA of Caenorhabditis elegans, 207 nucleotides long. The record is from Ensembl. NCBI's taxonomy places the organism in Eukaryota, Metazoa, Nematoda, Chromadorea, Rhabditida, Rhabditidae.